UACGUAGGGUGCGAGCGUUGUCCGGAUUUAUUGGGCGUAAAGAGCUCGUAGGCGGUUUGUCGCGUCGGCCGUGAAAACCUGCAGCUCAACUGCAGGCUUGCGGUCGAUACGGGCAGGCUAGAGUUCGGUAGGGGAGACUGGAAUUCCUGGUGUAGCGGUGAAAUGCGCAGAUAUCAGGAGGAACACCGGUGGCGAAGGCGGGUCUCUGGGCCGAUACUGACGCUGAGGAGCGAAAGCGUGGGGAGCGAACAGG
Molecule: ribosomal RNA, 253 nt
Filed under: uncultured bacterium
Lineage: Bacteria
Description: partial 16S ribosomal RNA
Rfam family: Bacterial small subunit ribosomal RNA
Source: RNAcentral